UGAGGAAUAUUGCGCAAUGGGCGAAAGCCUGACGCAGCAACGCCGUGUGGAGGAUGAAGCCCUAUGGGGUGUAAACUCCUGUUAGGAGGGAAGAAAGUCUUCGGACUGACGGUACCUUCAGAGAAAGCCCCGGCUAACUCCGUGCCAGCAGCCGCGGUAAUACGGAGGGGGCUAGCGUUGUUCGGAUUUACUGGGCGUAAAGGGCGUGUAGGCGGAUCGAUCAGUCAGGCGUGAAAGCCCUGGGCUCAACCCAGGAACAGCGUUUGAAACUGUCGAUCUUGAGUUCGGGAGAGGGUAGUGGAAUUCCCAGUGUAGAGGUGAAAUUCGUAGAUAUUGGGAAGAACACCAGUGGCGAAGGCGGCUACCUGGACCGAUACUGACGCUGAGGCGCGAAAGCGUGGGAGCAAACAGGAUUAGAUACCCUGGUAGUCCACGCCGUACACGAUGUCUGCUAGAUGUUGGGGGGCGUAGCCCUUCAGUGUCGCAUCUAACGCACUAAGCAGACCGCCUGGGGAGUACGGCCGCCAGGCUA
Molecule: ribosomal RNA, 532 nt
Filed under: uncultured bacterium
Lineage: Bacteria
Description: bacterial SSU rRNA
Rfam family: Bacterial small subunit ribosomal RNA
Source: RNAcentral